RNAcentral lists this ribosomal RNA (240 nucleotides) under Triticum aestivum (bread wheat). Its description in RNAcentral is "partial small subunit ribosomal RNA". The record is from RNAcentral. Lineage: Eukaryota; Viridiplantae; Streptophyta; Magnoliopsida; Poales; Poaceae.
AUAUAUAUAGCACUGAAAGGCAAAAAUCCAGCCAUAGCCAUCUGCGGAACUGUUGUCCGGUACCAGGGAAGUGGAGGAAUCUCCCUAGGGUAUUUGGUGGUACGGCAAGGAGCUUGGAAUUCACUCUUGCUGUUUUUACCAGCAAUGCCUCCCAAAACUAGUAGAGGGAAUGUGACUAAGGUCCAGAUCAGCACAAUGACACAGAUGGUGCCAAACGGCAAUGCUGCUGUUGCACUAUAA